CAAAAACAUUGCCCUCUGUUCAUAAUAUAGAGGGUACCUCCUGCCCAGUGAGUUUUCAACGGCCGCGGUAUCCUAACCGUGCAAAGGUAGCAUAAUCACUUGCCCAUUAAUUGUGGGCUAGAAUGAAAGGAUAAACAAAAUAAAUACUGUCUCUAUCUAUAUUUAUAAAAAUUAAUUUCUAGAUGAAGAAGUCUAGAUAAAGUUGACGGACAAGAAGACCCUAUAGAGCUUUAUUUAUAAUAAGAACUAAUCUCUUAUAUAUAAUUUGGUUGGGGCGACCAAGGAAUUUAUUAAUCAUCCUAAAACCUGAGACUAAUAAGUCAUUAUACUGACCCUAAAUUUAGAUCAAAAGAUCAAGCUACCUUAGGGAUAACAGGCUAAUUCUAUUUAAGAGUUCUUAUCUAAAAUAGAGUUUGGCCCCCUCGAUGUUGGCUUAGGAAAUCUUUAAUAGCGCAUAG
This 458-nucleotide ribosomal RNA is filed under the name Drawida ghilarovi. Its description in RNAcentral is "partial 16S ribosomal RNA". It matches the Rfam family "Bacterial large subunit ribosomal RNA", at positions 1808 to 2569 of the family's 2925-position model. The record is from RNAcentral. Lineage: Eukaryota; Metazoa; Annelida; Clitellata; Moniligastrida; Moniligastridae.